RNAcentral lists this ribosomal RNA (253 nucleotides) under uncultured bacterium. RNAcentral describes it as "partial 16S ribosomal RNA". It matches the Rfam family "Bacterial small subunit ribosomal RNA", at positions 524 to 776 of the family's 1533-position model. The record is from RNAcentral.
UACGAAGGGGGCUAGCGUUGUUCGGAAUUACUGGGCGUAAAGCGCGUGUAGGCGGUUAUCCAAGUCGGGUGUGAAAGCCUUGAGCUCAACUCAAGAAAUGCAUUCGGUACUGGGUGACUAGAGGGCCGGAGAGGAUAGUGGAAUUCCCAGUGUAGUGGUGAAAUACGUAGAGAUUGGGAAGAACACCAGUGGCGACGGCGGCUAUCUGGACGGUUUCUGACGCUAAGACGCGAAAGCGUGGGGAGCAAACAGG